GAGCACCUAAUAUUUACCAAGGUUAUGGAGAUAUAGAUCAUUAAAAAGUAAGAUGGUUCUAAAAUCCCCAAACAGUAAUGUUCGUUAGUUUGUGUAUAGGUAGUGUGACCCAAGUUUCAUCAGCAUGGUAUACCUCACACUACAGUAGCACUGCCAGGUCCAGGUCAUGUGGCUUAGGGAGGCUGAAUCCAACAGUGGCAGUGAAGAGCCACCACACCUGGGGCUGAGGCCUGGGCCAUGGAUGCUGUUUCUCUGCUUUGCCCAGAUGUCCUUGGUGUUAGCCUGGCACCUGGCUUUGUGUCAGUCAUUGUGGAAUAGCCUUUUCCUCUGCUUCCUGGUGGCAAGAUAUGCUAAAGCCUAAGCUGGCUUGCUUUCUACUGAUGCCCCAAUCUCAGACUCCUUAUUGGUACCAUGGGUGCUCAGAAUUGAACCCUUUUCCAGUAAGGAAAGAUACUGCUUGAGAAGCCACUUAACCCUGACAAACUUUACUUACUUAUAAUCUCUCCUUAUACAGAUAAAGCAUGACUCCUAGAGAACAUGAGGCCUGCAGUGCAUGAAAGUGAAGUGUCUAUUUCUAGCUCUCAUGAUACCCCAGCAGCCUGGUGGGGUGGUUCCACUUCUUGCAGUUUAUGUUCUAAGAUGGAAUGGGGCCCAUGGACCAAGCUAGGAUUUAGCUAGAAUCUGCCUGUUGGCUCCCUCACUUUACCUCUGUGUGAAAUGAAGCAAGGGCUCAGGGUGCUGG
This 742-nucleotide long non-coding RNA is filed under the name Marmota monax (woodchuck). Lineage: Eukaryota; Metazoa; Chordata; Mammalia; Rodentia; Sciuridae. The record is from RNAcentral.